UGACAGGCACCUUGCUUAUAUUGGAAGG
Molecule: non-coding RNA, 28 nt
Filed under: Mus musculus (house mouse)
Lineage: Eukaryota; Metazoa; Chordata; Mammalia; Rodentia; Muridae
Source: RNAcentral